RNAcentral lists this ribosomal RNA (491 nucleotides) under uncultured bacterium. RNAcentral's name for it is "partial 16S ribosomal RNA". It matches the Rfam family "Bacterial small subunit ribosomal RNA", at positions 29 to 506 of the family's 1533-position model. The record is from RNAcentral.
AGUGAACGCUGGCGGUAGGCCUAACACAUGCAAGUCGAACGGCAGCACAGUAAGAGCUUGCUCUUACGGGUGGCGAGUGGCGGACGGGUGAGGAAUACAUCGGAAUCUACUUUUUCGUGGGGGAUAACGUAGGGAAACUUACGCUAAUACCGCAUACGACCUACGGGUGAAAGCAGGGGAUCUUCGGACCUUGCGCGAUUGAAUGAGCCGAUGUCGGAUUAGCUAGUUGGCGGGGUAAAGGCCCACCAAGGCGACGAUCCGUAGCUGGUCUGAGAGGAUGAUCAGCCACACUGGAACUGAGACACGGUCCAGACUCCUACGGGAGGCAGCAGUGGGGAAUAUUGGACAAUGGGCGCAAGCCUGAUCCAGCCAUACCGCGUGGGUGAAGAAGGCCUUCGGGUUGUAAAGCCCUUUUGUUGGGAAAGAAAAGCAGCAGGUUAAUACCCCGCUGUUCUGACGGUACCCAAAGAAUUAGCACCGGCGAACUUCGU